UCAGGACAAACGCUGGCGGCGUGCCUAACACAUGCAAGUCGAACGAAGCACUGUGGAAAGAGACUCCGGUCAAUUGAAACUUUGACUUAGUGGCGGACGGGUGAGUAAUGCAUGAGCAACCUGCCCUGGAGAGGGGGACAACAGCUGGAAACGGCUGCUAAUACCGCAUGAUGUCACCGGGAGGCAUCUCCUGGUGACCAAAGAUUUAUCGCUCUGGGAUGGGCUCAUGUCUGAUUAGAUAGUUGGCGGGGCAACGGCCCACCAAGUCUGCGAUCAGUAGCCGGACUGAGAGGUUGAACGGCCACAUUGGGACUGAGAUACGGCCCAGACUCCUACGGGAGGCAGCAGUGGGGAAUAUUGGGCAAUGGGCGCAAGCCCUGACCCAGCAACGCCGCGUGAAGGAAGAAGGCUUUCGGGUUGUAAACUUCUUUUAUCAGGGACGAAGAAAGUGACGGUACCUGAUGAAUAAGCCACGGCUAACUACGUGCCAGCCGCCGC
This 498-nucleotide ribosomal RNA is filed under the name uncultured bacterium. Its description in RNAcentral is "bacterial SSU rRNA". It matches the Rfam family "Bacterial small subunit ribosomal RNA", at positions 24 to 518 of the family's 1533-position model. The record is from RNAcentral.